RNAcentral lists this ribosomal RNA (2115 nucleotides) under Triticum aestivum (bread wheat). Its description in RNAcentral is "partial small subunit ribosomal RNA". Lineage: Eukaryota; Viridiplantae; Streptophyta; Magnoliopsida; Poales; Poaceae. The record is from RNAcentral.
AUGGGAGAGGAGACCCUCGUGCAGGCCAUGCCGCUCGCGCCCCACCGCCACCACCACCACGUCCACCCCGCCGCCCCGGAUCCGGCCGGCGUCGAACGUCGAGACGACCAUCCGGCGGCGCACGCUCCGCGGACCCGGACCGGGAUCGCCGCGGCAGGGGACGCGAGCGAGGAGGAGGACGUGUACUACGCGCGCAAGAUGCUGCAGGGCGUGGUGCUCCGCCCGCCGUCGCACCUCCCGCAGCCGGAGGCGCCGCCUGGGCUUACGAGGGUGGUCUCCACGCCGGCGCCGAACGGGCGCGCGGAGGUGGAGGAAGGGCAGAGGCACGUCGUCGAGCGGUCCAACUCCGCCGCGGCCGUGGUGGACGUGGCGUCCAUCGGGCGCUUCUUCCGCGACCGGCGCGACGUGCUGUCCUCGGCCAUCAACCGCCGCUUCUCGUCGCUCAAGGAGGCGCCGGCCCCGGCGCCGGGGGACGCCUGCUACGGCGUGCAGGAGAUCCACCUGCCCAACGUGAAGGUCACCGUCCGCCUCAAGGAGGCCAUCGCCGCCGACGCGGAGGAGGACGACGGCUACGGCCACUCCUUCUCGGGCAGCCACAUCAAGGGCCGGGUCAGCUUCUUCUCCCGCUCCGGCUGCCGCGACUGCGCCGCCGUGCGCGCCUUCUUCCGCCAGUCGGGCCUGCCCUACGUGGAGAUCAACCUGGACGUGUUCCCGGAGCGCGAGGCCGACCUCGCGUCCCGGGCCGGCGCCGCCGCGCGCGUGCCCCAGAUCUUCCUCAACGAGAAGCUCCUGGGCGGGCUCGUCGUGCUCAACUCCCUCCGCAACAGCGGCGAGUUCGAGCGGCGCGUGCGCGAGGUCGCCGGGAGGCGGUGCCCCGACGCGGCGCCGCGGGUGCCCGUGUACGGGUUCGACACCGACGCCGGCGAGGAGGGGGAGGAGAGGGAGGACGCCAUGGUGGGCAUCGCGAGGGUGCUCCGGCACCGGCUGCCCAUACAGGACCGGUUCGUGAGGGUGAAGCUCGUGAAGAACUGCUUCUCCGGCGCCGACAUGGUCGACGGCAUCGUGAACCACUUGGAGUGCAGCAGGAACAAGGCUGUGGAGAUCGGCAAAGAACUCGCGAGGAAGCACUUCAUCCACCACGUCUUCAGGGAGAACGACUUCGAGGAUGGCGCCCAGAGCCUGUACCGCUUCCUGGAGCACGACCCGGCCGUCCCCAGGUACUACAACUUCAGGGGCUCCACCAACGACGGCGAGCCCAAGCCCGCCGCCGCCGUCGGCCAGAGGAUGACCAAGAUCAUGGUCGCCAUACUCGAGGCCUACGCCUCCGAGGACCGCCGCCGCGUCGACUACGCCCGCGUCGCCGCCAGCGAGGAGUUCCGGAGGUACGCCAACCUGGCGCGGGACCUGCAGCGGGCGGACGUCUUCGCCCUGCCCGCCGGGGAGCGCCUCUCCUUCUUCCUCAACCUGCACAACGCCAUGGCCAUCCACGCCGUCAUCAGGACCGGCCAGCCGGCGGGCGCGGGCGCCGUCGACCGCCGCUCCUUCUUCACCGACUUCCAGUACGUCGUCGGCGGGUACCCCUACUCCCUCACGACCAUCAAGAACGGCAUCCUCCGCGGCAACCGCAGGCAGCCCUACACCAUCGUCAAGCCGUUCGGCGCCUCCGAUAAGAGGCUCGAGGUACAUGUCUGGAACACCGUAGGAAUGGGAUCGACGCAUGCUCUCCGCUCGCGCUGGGAUCUUUAUUUUACUAUGGCUGUGCAGCUGGCGGAGACGAAGGUGAACCCGCUGGUGCACUUCGCGCUGUGCAACGCGACGCGGUCGAGCCCCACCGUGCGGUUCUACUCCACGCAGGGCGUGGAGCCGGAGCUCCGGCACGCGGCCAGGGAGUUCCUCCUCGACGGCGGCGUGGAGAUCGACCUCGAGACCCGGACCGUCCACCUCACCAGGAUCAUCAAAUGGUACAGCGCCGAUUUCGGGCAGGACAGGGACAUCCUCAGGUGGAUCUUCAACUACCUGGACCCGACCAAAGCCGGGCUCCUGACGCAUCUCCUGAACGACGGCGGACCCAUCAGCAUCGCCUACCAGGACUACGACUGGUCCUUGAACGCCUGA